Molecule: long non-coding RNA, 886 nt
Organism: Xiphophorus hellerii (green swordtail)
Lineage: Eukaryota; Metazoa; Chordata; Actinopteri; Cyprinodontiformes; Poeciliidae
Exons: 2
Source: RefSeq, a predicted model, not a curated record
GUCUGCGUUGCCAUGGCAGCCCUCCCUAUUAUUCAUGGUCCUCCAGCCACCUCUCAUCUCUCCAUUGCUCUCCAGCCCUCCCUCUUGUUUUUUCCUUCAUUUAUGAUACUUCCCGACCUGUGCUCACCAAAAGAAAACCUCCAAUCCUGUAACGGAAAGAUUGAGUACGGCAGUACGGCUUCUGAACGCAACAGGUAUCAUCUACAGUAAGCCUGCCGAGCCUACAAAGGAAGCACCCCUUCUCAUCAUGUCAUCUGUGAAGUCGUGGUUUCCCAGUUUCAAUGCUACCCCAACAGCGUUGAGCCUCAUGACCCCAACCACACUCCUCCCUGAGGAAAGGCACCACAUGGAAAUACAGACCAUUGUGAUUAUUGUCAUUUUCUGUGUUGUCUGCUUCCUUCUCCUGCUGGCCUUCUUUUAUGCCUCCUGCUUCCACUUUUCCAUCGGUUCAUCUCGGAAGGAGUCACGGUCGGCUAACGGAUGCAGCCUAGAGCCAGAGGACACCACAUAUAGGCACAGCUCAUUUGAAAUCCAGUCAGUACAAAACGUAGUCUGACUGAUAAGAACAGUAAAAGUAAUAACUAUAAGCUUUCUUGUCAUUUUGACUAUAAGCUACACCAAAGAAAAACUUUGAGAUAACUGAAAGGCACUGGUUUGAUGUAUUAUAGAGCUGAAAGAAAAUUACACACAAAAAAUUGUGAAAAUUUUCAAUUAAAUUAACGUCACUUUGUCCCUGUGUACAUACUGUAUACAACAUUUAUCUAAUAUUAAUCUAUAGCUGAAUAUAAAAAUGCAAAAUAAAAGAUAUAAAUCAUAUGAAAAUGUAAACAUGAGUGAAUUAUGUUGUCGUUGAGGAUCAAGAAAAAUAAAUGCAUCUAUACAGAGA